This is a long non-coding RNA of Tachysurus fulvidraco (yellow catfish), 1344 nucleotides long. RefSeq lists it as uncharacterized. The record is from RefSeq and is a predicted model, not a curated record. The transcript is spliced from 3 exons. NCBI's taxonomy places the organism in Eukaryota, Metazoa, Chordata, Actinopteri, Siluriformes, Bagridae.
UGUUUAUUUAAACCAUAGACUAUAUUUAUAUAGAGGCGCCAGCCAGUUAAGUCCGAGGAGACGUACGCUGCGCGGCGGUCAGACGUCAGAGCGGGACAACAAAUAUAGCAGGCAGAUCAGAACAAAAUAGUCCUGAUAGUGGUGGUGCUUCUGGUUGCUGUAUUGAUCGUGUUAAUCCUGAACCUGAGGAAAAAAUAUCACAGUAACCGAAAAGAUGAUUAUAUUGAACAGAGGCCUAGGAAUGGACCCUCUAAUGGCACAACAAAUAUGAACCUAAUGGCGAACCAAAGAAUGUUAAGACAGAGUGAGAAUGAAAGUGACGAGUAGUAACAGAGGGAAGAAACUUGCAACUACAUACAGGAGUAUGUGGAACAAUGAGAGAUCAAAAAUCAGAUGGUUGCACAGGAAUAAAUGACAUGUAUCUGGAUCUACAGCUUUCUCCGUCCCUUUGUGCUUCACAACAACUGAAGAAUAUGACCUGACUACAGAAUCUGCUUCAAUACUCACACCUAGACCUGACUAUUGCAGCUUUUUUUUUUUUUGGAAUCAGACCCUGGUUUAGAUGUCCACACCUACACCCCACAACAGGCCUUCAAACUCAUGGAAUAUAGUCUGUCCUUCUCUGGGAUCUGCUUCAGUCCUGGUUCCUCAGAAGUGUGAUUUGUGUCCACUGUGGGAAAAUAAUUUUAAGUCAUUGUUUUAAUUCCUUUUAGUUCUAGCAUAUUUUUGUGGAUCAUGCUGAAGCCAAAUCGUUACAAUGCUAGUUAAAUUCAAACUUUACAUUAGACUUGUGGUUCCUGUAUCUCAUUCAUUUGAAAGGAAAGGGCAAGGUAACUCAGGAUAUCAUCUGUCCCUUGGUGAAAUCUGUCCCAUUGUUUAAGGUGGCCAUUUGAAUCAACGUCUGAGUCACGAAGGAAUGCCAAGCGUUAGAGGUGAACUCAUUCCUAUGAUAAUGAAGGUGUCUGAGAAAGACUGUUGUUUUAAUUGGAUCAAGGGCAGGUGAAAUUCCAGGAUCUGGUGUGGGGCUGUUACAUCCUUUCAUGCACCAUAGGGUUUUGUCUCUAUCUGAUGGGACUGCCCCCUAUAAUGUGUAUAUUUACAAUGAAUUACAACUUAGUUAGACUUGAUGACUACAGCACCCAUGCCAGUACACUCUGACUUGAAGACUCAUGUUCAUCGAGUGUCUACUCAAUAAUGAAUACUGCACAAGGAAAUCCAGUGCCUCUUUUCCACCGGAAAGAACCGGGUGCUGGUUCAGAGCUAGCACUGGUGCUGGUUCAAAGUUGGUUCCACUGGUGAACCUUCUAAGAACCGGUUUGCCUUUCCACCAGCUAGAGAGCCAUC